Molecule: ribosomal RNA, 253 nt
Filed under: uncultured bacterium
Lineage: Bacteria
Description: partial 16S ribosomal RNA
Rfam family: Bacterial small subunit ribosomal RNA
Source: RNAcentral
UACGGAGGGUGCAAGCGUUGUUCGGAAUCACUGGGCGUAAAGCGCGUGUAGGCGGCCUCCUAAGUCUGGUGUGAAAGCCCGGGGCUCACCCCCGGAAGUGCAUUGGAUACUGGGAGGCUGGAGUACCGAAGAGGAGGGUGGAAUUCCUGGUGUAGCGGUGAAAUGCGUAGAUAUCAGGAGGAACACCGGUGGCGAAGGCGGCCCUCUGGUCGGAUACUGACGCUGAGACGCGAAAGCGUGGGGAGCAAACAGG